RNAcentral lists this long non-coding RNA (1444 nucleotides) under Vigna radiata. RNAcentral describes it as "long non-coding RNA (VRAD_LNC006590)". The record is from RNAcentral. Lineage: Eukaryota; Viridiplantae; Streptophyta; Magnoliopsida; Fabales; Fabaceae.
AAUCCAAUAGGCCCAAUAAGAAUAGGGGAGUGUGAUGAAUGCAUAUUUAUGCCCAUAUUUAUGCUUUAAAAUUCAAAUUUUUGAUGAGAUAUUUGUGCUUAAAUGGUUGAUUUAAAGUGAAUCUAUGUGAAGUUGAAUUAUUGGGUUUUGGAAUUAAAGAGGCUUAAAAAGUGAUUUUAAUUGCAUAAAUUAUUCUUGGAUGUUCUAAUAUUUAUUUGUGCAGCUGAAGUUAGAGUUUUAUUGGUCCAAAUUGCAAUUUAAAGCCCAAAAUCAGAUUUUAUUUGAAAAAUAAUGUCCAGAUGGGCCAAAUAGGAAAUUUUUACUCUUGCACCACCAGAUUUCCCUACAUGCACCCCUCAGUUCUAAACCAGGCCAAUACUGAAGCCCAACAGUAACCCUUUUCUCCUACACCUCCUAAGUUUCCUAUUCCUACCCCUCCCAAACCAGAGUCCAUCAGAUGUUGCCACGUGUCGCCAAUCCACCACACACAGAUUCAGCUAAUGACUUGCUGCCACAUCACUGAUCCCUGCACUUACCAAAUGAACCACUCAGAACAUGCCACCUAGCCCCUCUUGCCACGUCAUCACCAUCUCCAACAGAAACCCUAAUUCCCAAAUCCAAACCCUAGUCACCCAUGGCCGCCGUCACCAUCCUCGCUAGAACCCGAAUCCGGCAACCACAACGCCUCGACCACCAUCUUCCUCGCGUCGUUGGAGUGCAGGCCGCUGCAUUUGUCUUCUCCUCCAUCAACGAUGGCCACCACCUACAAACCCAGCAACCAUCUUCAUCCCGCAAGACACCAUGCCGCGUCGCCAAUCUCCUUCGUCUUCAUAACCUGCGAACCAGAAACGCAAAGACUACCAGCAGAUCCACCACGCCGUCGUGAGAUUCCAUGGCCAUAACCAAGAAUCGCGCUGUCCAUCACCACCGCAUCGCGCCGCAAGCAAGCACCAUCCUCCUCCACGACUACCAUGGACGCCACAGUUUCUGCAUCAACAGUCGCGAGCAAGUCGCAAUCGCACCACCACGGUCUCACUAUUUCCAGCACCUGAAAUCAAAACCAGACCUGCAACAAACAACAAGAAACCAGAGAAUCCAGAUUCGUCUUUGCCUCGCAAUCUCCAGAUCUCUCCAUGUUUCGAGCAAGAACAGCAUAACGAAGUUUUUCCUGAAUCUGCAAAGAAGACGCGCAGGGGCCAGAAUGCGCAAGUUUUUCCCUUUCCCCCAAUCUGCAAAACCCUAACUUUAGGUGAGGAAAGAGCCGACACGUGGCGGGCUCGCAUUGGAGGUUUUAUUCUGGUCAAAGCUGGUCAAUGUUGUUUGAAUCUGGUCAAGACUGGUCAACUGAGGGGUUUUUCUGCAAAUUUUAAAAGAAAGGAAGGGGCUAAAACGCAGAUAGAGGAAUUUCAGGGACAUUUGUGCAAUUUUGGAAAGUCAGAAAAGC